Lontra canadensis (Northern American river otter) is the source of this 145-nucleotide long non-coding RNA. RefSeq lists it as uncharacterized. The transcript has 4 exons. NCBI's taxonomy places the organism in Eukaryota, Metazoa, Chordata, Mammalia, Carnivora, Mustelidae. The record is from RefSeq and is a predicted model, not a curated record.
GCAGGUACUGUACUCCAAGAUACUUGGAUUAUGAAGAUUUGGAGCGCAAGUACUGGAAGAACUUAACUUUUGUGGCACCUAUCUAUGGCGCAGACAUUAAUGGGAGCAUAUAUGAUGAGGGUGAGGCUGAAUGGAACAUAUCUCA